Molecule: ribosomal RNA, 630 nt
Filed under: uncultured bacterium
Lineage: Bacteria
Description: bacterial SSU rRNA
Rfam family: Bacterial small subunit ribosomal RNA
Source: RNAcentral
GCUUGGCGGCAGGCUUACUCAUGCAAUUCGAGCGCCCCGCAAGGGGAGCGGCAGACGGGUGAGUAACACGUGGGAACGUACCCUUUGGUUCGGAACAACCCAGGGAAACUUGGGCUAAUACCGGAUAAGUCCGUAAGGAGAAAGAUUCAUCGCCAAAGGAUCGGCCCGCGUCUGAUUAGCUAGUUGGUAGGGUAAUGGCCUACCAAGGCUACGAUCAGUAGCUGGUCUGAGAGGAUGAUCAGCCACAUUGGGACUGAGACACGGCCCAAACUCCUACGGGAGGCAGCAGUGGGGAAUUUUUCGCAAUGGGGGCAACCCUGACGAAGCAAUGCCGCGUGGAUGAUGAAGUAUCUCGGUACGUAAAAUCCUUUCGACGGGGACGAAGCCGCAAGGUUGACGGUACCCGUAGAAGAAGCCCCGGCUAACUCCGUGCCAGCAGCCGCGGUAAUACGGGGGGGGCAAGCGUUGUUCGGAAUUACUGGGCGUAAAGGGUGCGUAGGCGGCUUUCUAAGUCGGAUGUGAAAACUCUGGGCUCAACCCAGAGCCUGCAUCUGAAACUGGAGAGCUAGGGUUUUGGAGGGGGAAGCGGAAUUCCUGGGUGUAGCGGUGAAAUGCGUAAAUAUCAAGAAG